RNAcentral lists this microRNA (22 nucleotides) under Picea abies (Norway spruce). RNAcentral's name for it is "pab-miR3712". Lineage: Eukaryota; Viridiplantae; Streptophyta; Pinopsida; Pinales; Pinaceae. The record is from miRBase by way of RNAcentral.
UGUGAUCAAGAUCAGACUACCA